UACAGAGGUCCCGAGCGUUGUUCGGAUUCACUGGGCGUAAAGGGUGCGUAGGUGGCUUGAAAAGUUUGAUGUGAAAGCUCAGGGCUUAGCCCUGAAAUGGCAUUGAAUACUAUCGGGCUGGAGGUUUGGAGGGGGGACUGGAAUUCUUGGUGUAGCAGUGAAAUGCGUAGAUAUCAAGAGGAACACCAGUGGCGAAGGCGGCCUACUGGGUCAGUACUGACGCUGAGCCGCGAAAGCCAGGGGAGCGAACGGG
This 253-nucleotide ribosomal RNA is filed under the name uncultured bacterium. RNAcentral's name for it is "partial 16S ribosomal RNA". It matches the Rfam family "Bacterial small subunit ribosomal RNA", at positions 524 to 776 of the family's 1533-position model. The record is from RNAcentral.